UGAUCCUGGCUCAGGACGAACGCUGGCGGCGUGCUUAACACAUGCAAGUCGAGCGGUAAGGCCUUUCGGGGUACACGAGCGGCGAACGGGUGAGUAACACGUGGGUGAUCUGCCCUGCACUUCGGGAUAAGCCUGGGAAACUGGGUCUAAUACCGGAUAUGACCUCCUAUCGCAUGGUGGGUGGUGGAAAGAUUUAUYGGUGCAGGAUGGGCCCGCGGCCUAUCAGCYUGUUGGUGGGGUAAUGGCCUACCAAGGSGACGACGGGUAGCCGACCUGAGAGGGUGACCGGCCACMCUGGGACUGAGACACGGCCCAGACUCCUACGGGAGGCAGCAGUGGGGAAUAUUGCACAAUGGGCGAAAGCCUGAKGCAGSGACGCCGCGUGAGGGAUGACGGCCUUCGGGUUGUAAACCUCUUUCAGCAGGGACGAAGCGCAAGUGACGGUACCUGCAGAAGAAGCACCGGCUAACUACGUGCCAGCA
RNAcentral lists this ribosomal RNA (482 nucleotides) under uncultured Rhodococcus sp. RNAcentral's name for it is "bacterial SSU rRNA". It matches the Rfam family "Bacterial small subunit ribosomal RNA", at positions 14 to 513 of the family's 1533-position model. Lineage: Bacteria; Bacillati; Actinomycetota; Actinomycetes; Mycobacteriales; Nocardiaceae. The record is from RNAcentral.